RNAcentral lists this long non-coding RNA (597 nucleotides) under Marmota monax (woodchuck). The record is from RNAcentral. Lineage: Eukaryota; Metazoa; Chordata; Mammalia; Rodentia; Sciuridae.
AUGAAACAUAGUGCCAUAGGUAAGAUUUACAGCGUGCUUAUUUCAUGCCAGGUGAUUCUCUAGCCACUUUUAUAUGUAUUGACUCAAAUAAUCCUCACAUCUCUACUUAAAAGUAGAUGCUGUCAUUAGUCUGACUUCAUCAAUGAGGAAAUAGAAGGACAAUUGAGUUAAGUGCCCAAAGGUGGCAAAACUAGCUGGUAUCCACACACUCAUGUUUAUUGCUGCACUCUCCACAAUAGCUGAGUCACGGAAUCAGCCAAGUGCCCCUCACAGAUGAAUGGAGAAAGAAGAGGUGGUGUGUGUGUGUGUAUGUGUGUGUGUGUGUAUAAUGAAAUAGUAUUCAGCCUUAAAUAAGAAAUUUUUUUUAACAUUUGCAGCAACAGGGAUAAAAAUGAGCCAGGCACAGAAAGACAAGUACCACAUGUUGUCUCACAUUUGUGGAAGCUAAAAAAUAAAUCCACCUGAAAGUAGAACAGAGUGAAUUCAAGAGAUCCAGAAGGGUGCAGGGCAGUGGCAAGGAAAGCAGAAAAGGGAGGUUGGGUUGAAUCAGUGCACACGGUGGGCCUGGGUGGAAAUACCAUGCUGGGCUCCUCUAAU